Molecule: unclassified non-coding RNA, 2456 nt
Filed under: Centruroides sculpturatus (bark scorpion)
Lineage: Eukaryota; Metazoa; Arthropoda; Arachnida; Scorpiones; Buthidae
Description: uncharacterized LOC111639673, transcript variant X6
Source: RNAcentral
UGUCUUUUCCUAGCUGUUUAUUACUUAAAAUAUUUGAGAAAUUUUCAAAUUAUUUUACGCUUUAUUAUCUGAAGUUGAAAUAAUCAUAGAAAUUCUUUUCACUUUGAAGAUUCUAUCAAACGUUACGCCUUCUUACGAUCCGAAAUGCUUAGAAGAGAAAAGGUAAACUUUCUGGAUGGCAAGUUUAAAAAUGAAAAAACAAAAAAAAAUUUUUUGAAUAAAUUAAAGGAAUUUAAAAUAACAUUUGUUUCCGUCUGUUCGUACACUGUCUUAGCUGACGUCAUCCGCAUCGGCCAAUACCGACCAGGUAGGAGUGUAAACUUUUCUCACCUGCCCGACCGGUUUUUCUUAUGUAGUAGACCUCAACAGACAAACGCGCAAAAGCAUGGCCACUACACCGAUCUGCAGGUGUCGUGUCCUCUAUCUGGGAUCGUCCGUGCCUCAUAUAACCAAAGAUGGACUACAAGGUAUUCAAGAGCCAUUGAGAGAAUUAUAUCCCGAACAAGGACCGCUAAGUGCUCGUGGAAUAGACUCAUGGUUGAGUGUGUGGAGUAAUGGACUUUUGUUGGAAAAUGUGGACGAAUCACGACGUGAAGUCACGCGCUUUUUUCCGGUGGAAACUUUACAUUAUUGCGCUGCUGUUCGUUAUAUGGUGGUUCCUGGAAGUGGUGCACAAGGUGUGGAAAAAUUUCUUCCUUUGGAUAGUCCCUUUGGUCAUCGUGCCGGACAAAAUUCUGGUCAUCCUCCGCUCUUUGCUUGUAUUCUUAGAAGAACAGAAGGAAUCAAAGUAUUAGAAUGCCAUGCUUUUAUUUGUAAGAAAGAAGCUGCCGCCAAUGCAUUGGUUAGGUGUUGUUUUCACGCUUAUGCUGACAAUAUAUAUGCCCGUCAAAUGGAGGAAAAUCCUUAUUAUCUCGAUACAAGAAGAUCCAGAUCUAUGUCUGGCUUAAACACAUUGGAAAAAGUCGAGGAAUGGCGUAGAAGUCACGACGAGAAAUCAGAAUUUACUACCAAUGGAUUUACUAAUGGAAACGAUAUCAUAAGUGAUAAUUCACAGCAAGAUGAUAAUUAUAAAGUGUGGACUGGUAGACCACAUGUGGAAAAAGAGGCCAUCUAUUCUGAUGUGGGAGGCACUUUUCGUAGCAAUCAAUCUAUUACGGCUACUAAGAACAAACCUCGGCAGAUGAUAUUACCGUCUCGGCCUCCUCCUCCUUUACCGGUUGAAAACAAUAAAAUGAAACCAGCCAAGAAUCUCAAAUCCAAGCAGGAAUCAAUGUCACAGAUGACAAACGGUAAUUAUUACAGAUCAGUAUCUUCCAUGGGAAGACCACCUCGUCAUCAGAACCAGAUAUACGCUACAUCGGGUCUGUAUACAGAAAGAAGAAAUAAGCGGUUUGAUAGGGCUUAUUUACCUGCAGAAGAACCCUUAUAUAUGCCUUCUAUCAGACCUACAAGUCCAGUAUCAUCAUAUCAGCCAUCUGCAUUUCCACACGAGCAAUAUUACAUGCAAUUUAAUACUGCUCCUCGUCAUCAUUCUAGAACACCCAGAAGAAGAAGACAUAUAGGACCGGAAAGCCCUUCUGAGCCUUCUCAGUCGGAAGUGGAUUCUCCAUUUAAUACAGGAGUUCAAGAAACCCAAGCAGAAGUAACAAGGAUGAUGGCAUCCGUGGACCUCAAUGGAAGCGUAAUGAAUGGACAUGGAGGAAGAAAAAAACAUUCCAGUCAUAAAAAAUGAAAUACACUGCAAAAAUAUUUCACAUGUAAAAGUUUUAAACUUCCGUUUAAAAACUUUUAUAUUUGACUAUAUAACAACUAUAGAAUUUGGAACAUGCAAAGUUAAUUGGAGUGAAGAAAGUGAAAUGGUUUUGUAUGUAUCAGAAUCAAAACUAGUUUUAUCGAAUUUGGAACAAUUUAAUCUGGAAAAUACUAUAAUAUUAUGCUGUAGUAAAGUUUAUAUGAACUUGGCUUGGGGCAAAAAUUCUUUCUAAGAGGUGACUUCCUGAACCAACUUGCGCUGCAACUACGCCUAUGACGUCAUCUAAGAGGAAUGCGAAAUGCCGAAGCUAUUACUUGCGCUACAAAGUAGCGGUAUCUACAGAAAGAAAAUAGUUAUUUUUUUCUUCCUUUAUUUUUAGAGUUCGGGAUAUUUCCAACAAAAAUUAUUCCAAGAAUUUCAAGUUAUAGUUUCUUAAGGAAGAAACUAGUUGGCCCUACGCUCGAUGACGUUUUCCAUUGAGAAAUUCCACGAACGAUCAAGAACGGAAUUGUUUGAUUUCUUUCAAAGGAACAAAGUUUGUUUUUAUUUUGUAUAUGAAAAAUAAAAUUCCAUAUGUACAGGUACAACGUUCAUUUAUAAAAUGUAAAAGUAUACCCUCGAAAAUGUUUCUUAAACUUAAUUACUCAAUACUUGUACGACGUCUUGUAUCUUGUGUAUAAUAAUAACAAUUAAUAAUAAUAAU